AGUGAACGCUGGCGGCAGGCCUAACACAUGCAAGUCGAGCGGCAGCGGGCUGUAGCAAUACAGUGCCGGCGAGCGGCGGACGGGUGAGGAAUACAUCGGAAUCUACCUUGUCGUGGGGGAUAACGUAGGGAAACUUACGCUAAUACCGCAUACGAACUACGGUUGAAAGCGGAGGACCGCAAGGCUUCGCGCGAUUGGAUGAGCCGAUGUCGGAUUAGCUAGUUGGCGGGGUAAUGGCCCACCAAGGCGACGAUCCGUAGCUGGUCUGAGAGGAUGAUCAGCCACACUGGAACUGAGACACGGUCCAGACUCCUACGGGAGGCAGCAGUGGGGAAUAUUGGACAAUGGGCGCAAGCCUGAUCCAGCCAUGCCGCGUGUGUGAAGAAGGCC
This 390-nucleotide ribosomal RNA is filed under the name uncultured bacterium. RNAcentral describes it as "bacterial SSU rRNA". It matches the Rfam family "Bacterial small subunit ribosomal RNA", at positions 29 to 416 of the family's 1533-position model. The record is from RNAcentral.